UCGGGGAAGAACGAUUGCGCUCCUGUGGAGAAAAUUUGUUUGACACCCCUGGUCUAUGCAGACAGCUCAUCAAGAGAAGGCUUGAUUUACUUUGUUGAUAUGGCAGUAUGCACCCCGCUAGAGGCUAUACUGAUUACUCUGCAUAUUAAUUUGGUCAGUGCAUUUAUCUAGCCUUUCUCUUUUGUCUAUGAGGAGGAUGGAGGCUGAUGACACUGGGGAAAAGCUGGCAGAGAAAGGACUUUUCUGUAGAAGUAUCUUAUAUCACUUAUAACUGCUUCCCUGUGCUCCUAGGUCUGAAGGAAACAUGCUUCACAGUGAUUGCUAACUGCUUCCCUGUGCUCCUAGGUCUGAAAGAAACAUGCUUCACAGUGAUUGCUAACGGCUUCCCUGUGGUCCUAGGUCUGAGAGAAACAUGCUUCACAGUGAUUGCUAACUGCUUCCCUGUGGUCCUAGGUCUGAGAGAAACAUGCUUCACAGUGAUUGCUAACGGCUU
Oncorhynchus tshawytscha (Chinook salmon) is the source of this 493-nucleotide long non-coding RNA. Lineage: Eukaryota; Metazoa; Chordata; Actinopteri; Salmoniformes; Salmonidae. The record is from Ensembl.